Molecule: ribosomal RNA, 772 nt
Filed under: uncultured Neocallimastigales
Lineage: Eukaryota; Fungi; Neocallimastigomycota; Neocallimastigomycetes; Neocallimastigales
Description: partial large subunit ribosomal RNA
Rfam family: Eukaryotic large subunit ribosomal RNA
Source: RNAcentral
CUAUACAUGACUCUGCGCAUAUCAAUAAGCGGAGGAAAAGAAACUAACAAGGAUUCCCUAGUAACGGCGAGUGAAGCGGGAAGAGCUCAAAUUUGAAAUCUUCAAGGUUUACCUUGACGAAUUGUAGUUUAAAGAAGUGUUUUCGGUUAGAGGAGUAGUAAAAGUUCUUUGGAAUAGGACAUCAUAGAGGGUGAGAAUCCCGUAUUUGGUCAUUCUUUCUAGCUUUGUGAUACACUUUCAACGAGUCGGAUUGUUUGGGAAUGCAGUCCAAAAUGGGUGGUAAAUUUCAUCUAAAGCUAAAUAUUGGCGAGAGACCGAUAGCGAACAAGUACCGUGAGGGAAAGAUGAAAAGAACUUUGAAAAGAGAGUUAAACAGUACGUGAAAUUGUCAAAAGGGAAGCGUUUGACACCAGUGUUGUUUUUCCGAAAAUCAAUUACGAAUGUUUUGUUUUUGAGAAGUUAUGACUUCAUCGGCUUGCUUCUCUCUUUACGAAACUUUCUUAAUGCACUUUUCGGUUAACAAGUCAAAAUCAAUUUCUUUUGUUGUAAAAGGGUACGAGGAAGGUGGCUUUCUUUUCGGAGAAAGUGUUUAUAGCCUUGUACCUCUGCAAUCGGAGAGAUUGAGGUCUGCAGCGUAGAUCCUUCGGGGUUAGAUACAUUUGUGCUAAGUUAUAGCUUUUCAUAGACAACUUGUUGACUAUGUUUAGUCUUGUAGCUUACUCGCUUAUGCUAUUUUACCUACGCUUAGGAUGUUGAUAGUCACAGCGUGUAC